Molecule: long non-coding RNA, 618 nt
Filed under: Medicago truncatula (barrel medic)
Lineage: Eukaryota; Viridiplantae; Streptophyta; Magnoliopsida; Fabales; Fabaceae
Description: lncRNA gene50027
Source: RNAcentral
UUUUAGUUUCAAAUAUCUUUUUGGCUAUCUAUUUUAGUGUUUUGAUUUUGUUUUUUUGACAAAUUGAUUUUAUUUGAUUUAUGAGUGUAGUAUUUGAUCCGAGGUACAAUGGGUUGCACGAUUUUAAAUUACCUUUUUUAUUAAUUGAAGAGUUAGAUAAAAUAGCAAGAUAAAUGUAAAAUAUCAAUGAAUUAUAAUAAAAUCUAUGAAUUUAUAUAUAUUUUUUUAAGCUAUAACCUCAUGAAAUAAGCUAUACAAGCUCAUGGUUUCUAUAAUAUAUGCAAGGUCUCGAUUCGAACUAUGGUCACCACAAUAAAAACUAUAAGCUCAUGAUAGUGAAAUAAGUUAUAAGUUCAUGAUAAAAUAAUGUUAUCAAACAUGACUAUUUUGGCCAGACAAACUUAUGCUAUAAGCUAUAAACUCAUUUCUUGAACUUACCAAACAUAUUUAAUGUAAAGGUUGAUUUCUUAAUUUUAUUAUGUGUUUUCAAAAAAUUGGGGUUUAGUUCUCAAACAUGUUACUCCCUCAUUCCCGAAAUAUAUAACGUAUUUUAUCAUUUCACACAGUUUAAGAAAAUUGUAAUAAUAAGAGAAAGAAAAAUGAUAUUUUGACUAAUUU